CGGAACGUAGCGCAGCCUGGUAGCGCACCUCACUGGGGGUGAGGGGGUCGUCGGUUCAAAUCCGGCCGUUCCGACCA
This 77-nucleotide transfer RNA is filed under the name Alphaproteobacteria bacterium. Its description in RNAcentral is "tRNA-Pro". It matches the Rfam family "tRNA". From Rfam's summary of the family: Transfer RNA (tRNA) molecules are approximately 80 nucleotides in length. Their secondary structure includes four short double-helical elements and three loops (D, anti-codon, and T loops). Further hydrogen bonds mediate the characteristic L-shaped molecular structure. tRNAs have two regions of fundamental functional importance: the anti-codon, which is responsible for specific mRNA codon recognition, and the 3' end, to which the tRNAs corresponding amino acid is attached (by aminoacyl-tRNA synthetases). tRNAs cope with the degeneracy of the genetic code in two manners: having more than one tRNA (with a specific anti-codon) for a particular amino acid; and 'wobble' base-pairing, i.e. permitting non-standard base-pairing at the 3rd anti-codon position. Lineage: Bacteria; Pseudomonadati; Pseudomonadota; Alphaproteobacteria. The record is from RNAcentral.